Gasterosteus aculeatus aculeatus (three-spined stickleback) is the source of this 1410-nucleotide long non-coding RNA. NCBI's taxonomy places the organism in Eukaryota, Metazoa, Chordata, Actinopteri, Perciformes, Gasterosteidae. The record is from Ensembl.
GGUGAAGGGCUGCUACAGUCAUCCAAACGAGGGGACAGAGAACACAGCCCUGAGGGACGGCUGUCAGGAUUGUGUUUUUCAAUCCCAGACAUUUUAUGGCCAUUGGAAUACGCGCCACCAGUAUGCAGCGGCUGGGUUCUGAUGGGAAGGGUUUUAUUGGGAAGUGGUUUGAUGGCUAACGUUCCCCAGUGGUUUGGGAAUUGAUGCCGUCCUGCAGGAUCGUCAGGAGACGCAGAGGACGUGGGAGCACUACACGGCGCAGAGUUUGAGCAUUCUAGCGGGGAUGCCAAUUUUCACUCUCCUCCCUUGUUCUCCUGUUCUCUCCUCCUCUCAUCACUAUGUCUAUUUCUCCCCCCGCUGUCAAGUCCUUCUGCAUAUUUCUUUAGCGUUUUGACUUUGAACCCCACAGCAUUAACCUGUCAGGGAAGUUACAAAUGUUCUGAGUGAAUUAUGUAAACUACAGAGACAUAAAACUGCAAAAAGCAUGGAGUUCUCACUUCAUUUCAUAAUUCAUCAUGCCCACAGAUUGAGGAAAAUAAAACUGGACUGAUUAGGUAGUCUGGCACAUUCUGGCUCAAAAUCUUCUAAAAUAUGCUUGAGAAUAUUAAUCACACUUUGUCUACCUCGCAAAUAAAAAAUCAAACACACGUACCCAUAGACGGAGAGCUUUUUUUAUUGUGAUUUCAUUACUCAAAUCGAAUGAGAGCAACGUCUCCAACAUUUUUUUUGGCCAGAAUUCAUUGCAUGAAGCAAAAGCAAUAGAUGUCACACCAGCACCACCAAAAGGCCGAGCGGAAAACAACAGCACGCUCGCACACAGCACUGAUUAAGGAUGCUUCGCCUUGGCAGACGGUCGAGAACAUCAACAUAAGCAGUCCAGCAUCGGAGUGCUUCCUCUCCUCCAGGGAACGUGUGACAGGAAAAGUAAAUAACGGCUCCGGAGGCCGUCGGCUGGUCAAAACAAGGCGCAGAGCUGGGGCCUGCACGCCGGAAACGCACACGCACUGCACGUGCACCUCCUGCUGGCAGGGUAAUAGCCAUCGCUGCAGGAGCGUAGUGCGGCCUUCGUUGGAUGGGAAAUCCGAACGGACUCCACGGCCCUCUCCAAGUCCGGCAGGAUGUCAGGCACGACAGCUUGCUCGGCUACAAAGAUUAUCGUCUCCAGGACUAACAGCAGGACCCAGCCUAAAGCUCCGAGCCAAUAGGAGGAGCCGAGGCUGGAAAAGUCUUGGCGUAUUUCUUCCCGGUGCUGAUGGCAGUGCAGUGGUGUUACCUGUGGAGGCCAUGGUGAGCAACAGGAGCGUUGAGGGGUAGAGGGCCUGUCCUGCCAUGAGGAGGGAGCGCGUGUUGGAGUAGGAGUGCACCGUCUCAGAUCUCCAGCAGAGGGCGAACACCAGACACAAAGCACCA